GUGAUCAGCAUCUCUCCUUGUCCUUUUGAGACUCAGUAACAGCUUUGUCGAGUGGCUUGAUAAUUUUUGCGCAAAAUUCAGUUGGACUUCUGUGGUCAGCAACAUGUAAAAAUGACGUGGGAAGAUCUUCAGUUGAGGAACACAAGGGGGAACAAAACCAGGAAAGGACAGAAGGGAUGGAGGAGCCCUGCUUGCACCUGGCGCACUGCUCGGGGUCUCGGCAGUCAGACUCCUGCUCCAAGCCCUUCCUUCAGACUACUGCCUGACCUCAGGGAGAUGCCUACUUGCUGUGGACUGAGUCAGUGCCUGGUCUUGUGGUCCUUCAGCACUCCAUGGAGCUACUGCAUGCUUGCAGACUUGAGGCUGUUGGUAUGUCUUGUCCUGUCUAUUGUGUACAAGGACUUUACAGCCAACAUUGCAAAGCAGCGGCUUGGCUGUUCCCACUCUGUUUUGGCUGUUUUGGCCUAUUUGAGUGUGUGAACAAACAUGCAGCCUCCCCAGUGGGUCAGCAGGUCAGGAUGGAGCCAUAAGCACCUACUUGGGAGUACUUGGUGGCUCCUUUGAAAAAUCUCCCUGGACUUUUAUUGGAUCUUAGGAUACCACGAAGUAUCUGCCUGCAUCUGGGCUUUGAUUCUAGUACCUUUCCCUCAGAGACCACAACUGACAGCUCUCUUCUCAGGGAUAGGUAAGAAUGGGGCAGUGGUUGCGUUUUUAGGGUAGGGAGAGUGAAAGGCUGUUUGAGGCCACUGUCUGCAUGGGGGAGCUGCAGGGCUGGUGAGAAUGAUCAGGAAUCAUCUUAUUUCUCCUUCCCUGGUGUCCUUGGUUCAGCUGGGAUAGAGUUAAUUUUCACAGGAACCUGGGAGGGGGCACAGCUGGGACAGCUGACCUGAACUAGCCAAGGAGCUAUUCCAUACCAUGUG
RNAcentral lists this long non-coding RNA (920 nucleotides) under Accipiter nisus (Eurasian sparrowhawk). RNAcentral's name for it is "lncRNA (ENSANIG00000002883.1)". Lineage: Eukaryota; Metazoa; Chordata; Aves; Accipitriformes; Accipitridae. The record is from RNAcentral.